This 324-nucleotide ribosomal RNA is filed under the name uncultured Anaerolineaceae bacterium. RNAcentral describes it as "bacterial SSU rRNA". It matches the Rfam family "Bacterial small subunit ribosomal RNA", at positions 1045 to 1382 of the family's 1533-position model. Lineage: Bacteria; Bacillati; Chloroflexota; Anaerolineae; Anaerolineales; Anaerolineaceae. The record is from RNAcentral.
UUGGCUGUCGUCAGCUCGUGUCGUGAGAUGUUCGGUUAAGUCCGCUAACGAGCGCAACCCUCGUCGUAUGUUAUAUGUGUCAUACGAGACUGCCGGUAAAAAAGCCGGAGGAAGGUGAGGAUGAUGUCAAGUCAGCAUGACCUUUAUAUCCAGGGCUACACACACGCUACAAUGGUCUGUACAAUGGGUAGCCAAGCCGCGAGGCGGAGCCAAUCCUGAAAGCAGGCCUCAGUUCAGAUUGCAGUCUGCAACUCGACUGCAUGAAGCCGGAGUUGCUAGUAACCGCAGGUCAGCAAUACUGCGGUGAAUACGUUCCCGGGUCUU